Molecule: ribosomal RNA, 301 nt
Filed under: uncultured bacterium
Lineage: Bacteria
Description: partial 16S ribosomal RNA
Rfam family: Bacterial small subunit ribosomal RNA
Source: RNAcentral
CAGCCGCCGCGGGAAUACGUAGGGUGCAAGCGUUAAUCGGAAUUACUGGGCGUAAAGCGUGCGCAGGCGGUUAUAUAAGUCAGAUGUGGAAUCCCCGGGCUCAACCUGGGAACUGCAUUUGAGACUGUAUGGCUAGAGUGUGUCAGAGGGGGGUAGAAUUCCACGUGUAGCAGUGAAAUGCGUAGAUAUGUGGAGGAAUACCGAUGGCGAAUGCAGCCCCCUGGGAUAACACUGACGCUCAUGCACGAAAGCGUGGGGAGCGAACAGGAUUAGAUACCCGUGUAGUCCCUGUCUCUUAUAC